GGGAGGACCAAGCGUUAUCCGGAAUUAUUGGGCGUAAAGUUUCCGCAGGCGGUUUUUCAAGUCUGCUGGUAAAGCGUGGAGCGUAACUCCAUCAUGGCAGUGGAAACUGAAAGGCUUGAGUAUGGUAGGGGCAGAGGGAAUUCCCGGUGUAGCGGCGAAAUGCGUAGAUAUCGGGAAGAACACCAGUGGCGAAGGCGCUCUGCUGGGCCAUUACUGACGCUCAUGGACGAAAGCCAGGGGAGCGAAAGGGAUUAGAUACCCCUGUUGUCCUGGCCGUAAACGAUGAACACUAGGUGUCAAUUUGAGGGUGCCUUCGGGAAUACAGUGACAGGUGGUGCAUGGCUGUCGUCAGCUCGUGUCGUGAGAUGUUGGGUUAAGUCCCGCAACGAGCGCAACCCACGUUUUUAGUUGCCAGCAUUUAGUUGGGCACUCUAGAAAGACCGCCGGUGAUAAACCGGAGGAAGGUGUGGAUGACGUCAAGUCAUCAUGCCCCUUACACCCUGGGCUACACACGUACUACAAUGCUACGGACAAAGGGCAGCAAACUCGCGAGGGCUAGCAAAUCCCAUAAACCGUGGCUCAGUUCAGAUCGUAGGCUGCAACUCGCCUACGUAAAGUAGGAAUCGAUAGUAAUCGCAGGUCAGCAUGCCGCGGUGAAUACGUUCCCGGGCC
RNAcentral lists this ribosomal RNA (672 nucleotides) under uncultured cyanobacterium. Its description in RNAcentral is "bacterial SSU rRNA". It matches the Rfam family "Bacterial small subunit ribosomal RNA", at positions 527 to 1380 of the family's 1533-position model. Lineage: Bacteria; Bacillati; Cyanobacteriota. The record is from RNAcentral.